UGCGCAGGCGGCCAGGUGUGUGGGGCGUGAAAGCCCGGGGCUCAACCCCGGAAUUGCACCUCAAACUACAUGGCUAGAGUAUUGGAGAGGGUAACGGAAUUCACGGUGUAGCAGUGAAAUGCGUAGAUAUCGUGAGGAACACCAGAGGCGAAGGCGGUUACCUGGACAAUUACUGACGCUCAGGCACGAAAGCGUGGGUAGCAAAAGGGAUUAGAUACCCCUGUAGUCCACGCCCUAAACGGUGCACACUAGGUCUUGGCGGAUUCGACCCCCCCAGGGCCCAAGCUAACGCGUUAAGUGUGCCGCCUGAGGACUACGGCCGCAAGGCUAAA
Molecule: ribosomal RNA, 332 nt
Filed under: uncultured bacterium
Lineage: Bacteria
Description: bacterial SSU rRNA
Rfam family: Bacterial small subunit ribosomal RNA
Source: RNAcentral